UCUGCAUUGUUUCAUGAAUCCCAUCAAGCACGGAAAUGAAAAACUCAUGAGCAUCCUGCUGUUCAUAACUUGCAAGAUUUGAUGCAUGCUUCCACCAGCUGUAGAGGAUCUUUGCUGGACUAAUAGGGAUCUGAUUGCCAGAGAAAACAGCAGAAAACAUUGCAUCCAAAUCACAAGCCAAACACAACACAGGGUUCUUGUUUG
This 204-nucleotide unclassified non-coding RNA is filed under the name Hevea brasiliensis (rubber tree). The record is from RNAcentral. Lineage: Eukaryota; Viridiplantae; Streptophyta; Magnoliopsida; Malpighiales; Euphorbiaceae.